AUGUAGAAAUGUUAUGAGGUUAUGUGUACGUGCGAUAAUGUUGUAUUGUUACUGAUGUGAUGAAUGUGUUUGUGGUGGUUUGUGCCCAGCACCGUGGGUGAGGAUGUGCCGUGUAGGAGUGACCCCGCGGUGCUGAGGGCUCAAUGAGUUUCUGUGUGUACUGUGAAAUAAUAAGUGUUCUCUGUGCAAUACCCAGAAACGACUUUAGACAAUAACUGCCUCCUCCUAUUUUAUCUCUACUCUAAACUUACCUGGGGUCGCGCGGUGUAUGGGACACAGGUUUUCUCACUCCCGAGGUGUUAGCUAAAAGGUUUAACUGUACCAGUUAGCCUCAGCUAGCCUAGCUUCGUCCGUAGCCGAAGCUUCCACAACAUUUACUGCUUUGAAAGGGGUUACACUGGGCCGGAGCAUAUGAGCGCUCAGCGCCGUCUCCAUCGGCUCAACAGGCUGGGAAUACCUCUGAGAGCUGUGACCAGGGUGCAAAGAACACAGCAGGAGUGGUAUUCGCUGGGCUUGGCACUUCCCCAGCCCGCUCCAUUAAAGCCGGAAUACACUCUGUCUGAGGCGCUGACGAGAACCCCCUUUUCUGUUUAUUACCCAGCAGCCGGAGGCCGAAGUCAGUCCACGCGUCGGACGGUCACGAGGUCAGCGCUGGUCAGAUGGUUCCGAUGCUGUGGUUUGGUGGAGGAGGUCGCAGUCCUGUCUCCCUGAUCUCACGCGUCUCUAAUCCAUCAUCAAGCAGCAUUUCUGUUGCUGAUCAUAUUUAUUGACGUAUAAUUGCUGUUAUCAUUCAUAAUUUGCUGCUUUUAACGUCUUAUCUGUUUCUGAUGAUCAUAUGGUGCAGAUUUUUCAUCAUCAGGAAUCAUAACACAUUUAGAAAUAACAUGGAUAAUUAAUACAAGUAUUGUUAUUAUUUAUUACUAUUCAGAGGCAAUUUAACAUUUUAGAAAACUAGUGGGAGAAAAAUACAAAUAAACUAACAUAAAACCUAUACAAUUUAAAUAAGAUAAUAUAAGAUAUAAGAAUAAGAUAAUUAUUUUACUUUGAUAAACCUUUAUUUUAUUUUAUUUUAUUUUAUUUUAUUUUUUAUUUUAGUCAUUUUGAUCUUGAGAUUUUCUGUUGAUUCUCACACUGAAGAACGAUCGGAAGUGACCCGUCCAGGAUUUGUAUGACUUUAACAAAGCGUUUUCACUGUAUUAUUUUAUUGUUUUUAACUUACUUACUCUAAGCUCAGUUUUAGGCCUCAUUAAAAACAUGAUCACAGUUACACUCCUAACGUUUCUCCCAGAUUAUUAAUAAAAAUUUGAAUCGAGGGAACCUCCUUCCAAAUGAAACAAAUAAAAACACGGUGAACCCAAACAACCGUGUGUUUUUGGCAGAAUGAGAAGAGCUCAGGGACACAAAUUAAUGGAUCUUGUUAUGGUAUAACAGAUACUUUCAUUACAAUAUAGAGUAUC
This is a long non-coding RNA of Betta splendens (Siamese fighting fish), 1457 nucleotides long. RefSeq lists it as uncharacterized. The transcript is spliced from 3 exons. The record is from RefSeq and is a predicted model, not a curated record. NCBI's taxonomy places the organism in Eukaryota, Metazoa, Chordata, Actinopteri, Anabantiformes, Osphronemidae.